UCCGUGACGGCGUGCCUUUUGCAUAAUGAGCCUACGAGUUACCGUUGCUAGCAAGGUUAAGGACUUCAGGUCCGGAUCCGUAGCGAAAGCGAGUCUGAAUAGGGCGCUUUAGUUAGUAGUGGUAGACGCGAAACCGUGUGAUCUACCCAUGGGCAGGUUGAAGCUGUAGUAACAUACAGUGGAGGCCCGAACCGGUUGACGUUGAAAAGUCUUCGGAUGACCUGUGGGUAGGGGUGAAAGGCCAAUCAAACUCGGAAAUAGCUCGUACUCCCCGAAAUGCAUUUAGGUGCAGCGUUGAUUUAUAGUUUUAUAGAGGUAGAGCUACUGAUUGGAUGCGGGGGCUUCACCGCCUACCAAUUCCUGACAAACUCCGAAUGCUAUAAAAUGUUAAUCAGCAGUGAGGGCAUGGGUGCUAAGGUCCAUGUCCGAGAGGGAAAGAACCCAGACCAUCAGCUAAGGUCCCCAAAUGUAUGUUAAGUUGAAUAAACGAGGUUGAACUGCUUAGACAGCUAGGAUGUUGGCUUGGAAGCAGCCAUUCAUUUAAAGAGUGCGUAACAGCUCACUAGUCGAGCGGUUCGGCAUGGAUAAUAAUCGGGCAUAAACAUACUACCGAAGCUAUGGACUUGUAAAAGUGGUAGGGGAGCAUUGUAGUGUCGUCGAAGGUGAAGCGUGAGCUUUGCUGGAGAAGCUACAAAAGAAAAUGUAGGCAUAAGUAACGAUAAUGCGGGCGAGAAACCCGCACUCCGAAAGACUAAGGUUUCCUCAGCUAUGCUAAUCAGCUGAGGGUUAGUCGGGACCUAACGCGAACCCGAAAGGGGUAGUGGAUGGACAACGGGUUAAUAUUCCCGUACCUGCUCACGCUAAAAGUGACGGAGGCGUAUAUUUGGUGCGAACUGACGGAAUAGUUCGUUGAAGGGAGCGGUAACGCCCCGAUAGUACACUGAGGCUACGGCCAAGGUGAUAAUCCAGAGAAGCGACUUCCAAGAAAAGCAAGUGAAGCAGCCCGUACCGCAAACCGACACAGGUAGUUGGGAUGAGAAUUCUAAGGUGCUCGAGAGAUUCAUGGCUAAGGAACUAGGCAAAAUAGACGCGUAACUUCGGGAGAAGCGUCGCCUGUAGUAAUACAGGCCGCAGUGAAAAGAUCCAAGCGACUGUUUAUCAAAAACACAGGGCUCUGCUAAAUCGAAAGAUGACGUAUAGGGCCUGACACCUGCCCGGUGCUGGAAGGUUAAGUGGAGGGCUUAGAGGUUUACCUCGAAGGUCUGAAAUGAAGCCCCAGUAAACGGCGGCCGUAACAAUAACGGUCCUAAGGUAGCGAAAUUCCUUGUCGGGUAAGUUCCGACCUGCACGAAUGGCGUAACGACUUCCCCGCUGUCUCCAACAUCGACUCAGCGAAAUUGAAUUGCCUGUCAAGAUGCAGGCUUCCCGCGGUUAGACGGAAAGACCCCGUGCACCUUUACUACAACUUUACACUGAUAACAGGCACAACAUGUGCAGAAUAGGUGGUAGGCUUUGAAGCAGAAACGCCAGUUUUUGUGGAGCCUCCUUUGAGAUACCACCCUUGUUUUGCUUGUUAUCUAACUGCGGUCCGUUAUCCGGAUCCAGGACCCUGUAUGGUGGGUAGUUUGACUGGGGCGGUCGCCUCCUAAAGCGUAACGGAGGCGCGCGAAGGUUGGCUCAGAGCGGUCGGAAAUCGCUCGUUGAGUGCAAUGGCA
RNAcentral lists this ribosomal RNA (1715 nucleotides) under Ctenophora environmental sample. RNAcentral's name for it is "partial Bacterial large subunit ribosomal RNA". It matches the Rfam family "Bacterial large subunit ribosomal RNA", at positions 590 to 2359 of the family's 2925-position model. Lineage: Eukaryota; Metazoa; Ctenophora. The record is from RNAcentral.